AAUGGGACAAUGGGACAAUAAUGGGACAAUGGGACAAUGGGACAAUGGGACAAUGGGACAAUAAUGGGACAAUGGGACAAUGGGACAAUGGGACAAUGGGACAAUGGGACAAUAAUGGGACAAUGGGACAAUGGGGGACAAUGGGCUAAUGGGGACAAUGGGGGACAAUGGGACAAUGGGGGACAAUGGGACAAUGGGGACAAUGGGGGACAAUGGGGACAAUGGAGGACAAUGGGACAAUGGGACAAUGUGGUAAUGGGACAAUGGGAUAAUGGACAAUGGGGGACAGUGGGACAAUGGGGGAUGAUGGGACAAUGGGGGACAAUGAGACAAUGGGAUAAUGGGAAAAUGGGAGAAUGGGAGAAUGGGGACAAUGGGAUAAUGGGAUAAUGGGCACAAUGGGGGUCAAUGGGACAAUGGGACAAUGGGAUAAUGGGAUAAUGGGCACAAUGUGGCAUAAUGGGGGACAAUGAGACAAUGGGGACAAUGGAAUAAUGGGGACAAUGGGACAAUGGGACAAUGGGACAAUGGGGACAAUGGGGACAAUGGGGGAUGAUGGGGACAAUGGGAUAAUGGGGACAAUGGGACAAUGGGACAAUGGGGACAAUGGGGGAUGAUGGGGACAAGGGGGACAAUGGGGAAAAUGGGACAAUGAGACAAUGGGGACAAUGGGGGAUGAUGGGGACAAUGGGGACAAUGGGACAAUGGGGGCAUUGGGGAACAAUGGGGGAACAAUGGGGGACAAUGGGAUGGGGACAAUGGGGUGAUGGCAAUAGAGUGGUGUCAGUGGGGUGUUGGUAAUGGGAUGGUGGUAAUGGGAUCAUGGUGGUAAUGGGAUCAUGGUUGUAAUGGGAUCAUGGUGGUAAUGGGAUCAUGGUGGUAAUGGGAUCAUGGUGGUAAUAAUGGGAUCAUGGUUGUAAUGGGACCAUGGUGGUAAUGGGAUCAUGGUNCUACGUGGGAGACCCGCGAAAGUGGGGACCCCCCCCCAAGUGACCUCCCCAAAUAAUGGACCUCUAUAAAGGGGACCC
RNAcentral lists this long non-coding RNA (1028 nucleotides) under Coturnix japonica (Japanese quail). RNAcentral describes it as "lncRNA (ENSCJPG00005004992.1)". Lineage: Eukaryota; Metazoa; Chordata; Aves; Galliformes; Phasianidae. The record is from RNAcentral.